This 497-nucleotide ribosomal RNA is filed under the name uncultured bacterium. Its description in RNAcentral is "partial 16S ribosomal RNA". It matches the Rfam family "Bacterial small subunit ribosomal RNA", at positions 28 to 507 of the family's 1533-position model. The record is from RNAcentral.
GAUGAACGCUGGCGGCGUGCCUAAUACAUGCAAGUCGAGCGAACAGACGAGGAGCUUGCUCCUCUGACGUUAUCGGCGGACGGGAGCGUAACACGUGGUUAACCUAACUAUACGACUGGGAUAACAUCGGGAAACCGUAGCUACUACCGGAUAAUAUAUUGACCCGCAAUGUUCACUAGUUAAAUUCGGUUUUUGUGUCACUUAUAGAUUGAUCCGGCUCCCAUUAGUUAGUUGGUAGGGUAACGGCUUAGCAACGCAACGAUGGGUACCCGACCUGAGAGGGUGGUCGGCUACCCUGGAACUGAGACAGGGUCCAGACUCCUGCAGGAGGAAGCAGUAGGGAAUCUUCCGCGAGGGGGCAAUGCGUGACGUUGCAACGCGGGCGGAGGGAUGAAGCACCUCGGAUCGGAAAACUCUGUUAGUAGGAGAGAAGAAAUGUGUAAUUACCUAUGCUCGUCUUGACGGUACCUAAACAGAAAGCCACGGCUAACUACGUG